GGAAGUAAAGUCGUAACAAGGUCUCCGUUGGUGAACCAGCGGAGGGAUCAUUACCGAGUUAUCAACUCCCAAACCCCUGUGAACAUACCCAACGUUGCUUCGGCGGGACCGCCCCGGCGCCCUCGGCGUCCCGGAACCAGGCGCCCGCCGGAGGACCCAAACUCUUGUUUAAACCAUAGUGGCAUAUUCUGAGUCUCACAAGAAAAAUGAAUCAAAACUUUCAACAACGGAUCUCUUGGCUCUG
This 244-nucleotide unclassified non-coding RNA is filed under the name plant metagenome. Its description in RNAcentral is "partial contains small subunit ribosomal RNA, internal transcribed spacer 1, and 5.8S ribosomal RNA". The stretch from base 1 to 53 matches the Rfam family "Eukaryotic small subunit ribosomal RNA", at positions 1778 to 1831 of the family's 1831-position model. The record is from RNAcentral.